CGGUAAUUCCAGCUCCAAUAGCGUAUACUAAAGUUGUUGCAGUUAAAAAGCUCGUAGUUGGAUUUCUGCGGGGACGGAGCGGCCGGACGCAACUUGCGUCUCGAGCUAGCGCUUUCCCCGCAUCCUGCCGCGAACCGUGCUACCAUUAGUUUGGUGGCGCUGGGGAUCGGCUCGAUUACUUUGAGAAAAAUAGAGUGUUCAAAGCAGGCCACACGCCUUGAAUAAGUUAGCAUGGAAUAAUGACUAAGGACUUCGGUUCUAUUUUGGUGGUGUUCGGGACUGAAGUAAUGAUUGAUAGGGACAGUUGGGGCGGUCUGUAUUCCAAAGCGAGAGGUGAAAUUCUUAGACCUUCGGAAGACAAACAGCUGCGAAAGCGUUCCGCAAGGAUGUUCCCUUUGAUCAAGAACGAAAGUUGGGGGAUCGAAGACGAUCAGAUACCGUCGUAGUCUCAACUAUAAACUAUACCAGCUAGGGAUCGGUCAACGUUUAAUUAUUCGACUUGAUCGGCACCUUAUGAGAAAUCAAAGCAUCUGGGUUCCGGGGGGAGUAUGGUCGCAAGGCUGAAACUUAAAGGAAUUGACGGAAGGGCACCACCAGCCGUGGAGCCUGUGGCUUAAUUUGACUCAACACGGGAAAACUUACCAGGUCCAGACAUAGUAAGGAUUGACAGAUUGAUAGCUCUUUCUUGAUUCUGUGGGUGGUGGUGCAUGGCCGUUCUUAGUUGGUGGAGUGAUUUGUCUGGUUAAUUCCGUUAACGAACGAGACCCCAGCCUGCUAAAUAGCGCGGCUGAGCUUUGCUCGGUGCGAGCUUCUUAGAGGGACUAUGAUGCGCGAUAGCACAUGGAAGUUUGGGGCAAUAACAGGUCUGUGAUGCCCUUAGAUGUUCUGGGCCGCACACGGGCUACACUGGCGCCUGCAACGAGCAUAUCAGCUGGCCCGAGAGGGUCUUGGCUAAUCUUUUGAACCGGCGCCGUGCUUGGGAUUGACCUUUGCAAUUGUUGGUCAUGCAACGAGGAAUGCCUUGUAAACGCGAGUCAUCAGCUCGCAUUGAAUACGUCCCUGCCCCUUGUACACACCGCCCGUCGCUCCUACCGAUGAAUGUUCCGAUGAAAUUUUCGGAGAGCGCCAGAGAACGGGGCUCUGCCUUGCAGAUCUGGAGGCUCAAAGUCACUUAAAUCUGAACAUUUCGAGGAAGGAGAAGUCGUAACAAGGUAACC
RNAcentral lists this ribosomal RNA (1217 nucleotides) under uncultured Rhizaria. RNAcentral describes it as "SSU rRNA". It matches the Rfam family "Eukaryotic small subunit ribosomal RNA", at positions 577 to 1804 of the family's 1831-position model. The record is from RNAcentral.